AAAGGACAAUAUUUCAGACAGGCACGUUGUUACAAGUUACAAGUUACAAGUUACAAGUUGAAUACAAGCUAUCCGGAUAGACGAAGAAGAGAGGUAGGGGGUGCGAAGGAAAACUAGUCGUAGAGCGAAAUGCGUAAACGCGAGAGAGUUGGUCCGAGCGAGAGAAACGACGAACAACGCGCAAGUUUCCCGCGCAAAUCGUACCCCUUCUGCCCCUCUAUUCCCCUCUCCGCAACGUCAAGUGAAAUCUCUGCGAAACCAGAACACCCUGGCCAGUUGGACGUCGCGGCGAACACGAGGUGUCCGACGACGUUAGCGCGUCGACCUUUUCCAGCGCGUAGUACACCUUAUCUACGGUUACGCGUCACGUUCGCCACGCUCAAACACACCUUCCACGCUAGUUUUUUCUCACCCCUAGCCUAGCGUCGACGCGUCGCGUCGCGUCGCGUCGCGUCGCCUCUAGCGAUCGAUGCAGCGAGGCGUCGAUCGCUCGUCGAUGAUCCCGUGUCGCACGACACGACGCCGACGCCGACGCCGCGCCGACGCUUCGCUGCCCGUAAUUACGCAUUCCGUCGAGCACUCGCGUGGGCGAGGACCUCGAUUCGCAACCGAAUCGCACCGUUUGCAUCGUUCCACGAUAGCAAUUCGAUGAUUAUUCGAGUAACCGUUCGGUGAGAAGGACGGAGGAUCCGUCAGGGAUUCCAGUACGAAUCGUAGUUGAAUCGUUGACGUCACCAAAGCGACGCGCGACCCUUCGUUGUGAAAGUAAGAGUGAUGCGUGUACGGGGGGGGGGGGGGGGGUGUAAACGACGUUUUCGAUAUCAAAACACCGGAUGGGGAUUUACAACGAAUUCUCGGAGACUGUGUUUAUCGUAAAAGUUAAUCGUUCGCUCGAAACUCGUUGUUUUCUUAUCGGUUACAUCGCGCGUACAAUCAACCUUUUGAAAACACUUGUCAAGCAAAGCCCAGGUACAUGCAUACACGGCUAGCCUACCGUUGUUGAGCAGAAAGUUGCUGAAAAUUUUGCUCGAAUGUGAUCCGUAAUACUCGAUUCGAAUUGGUAGGAGGAGCAAGAAUCGGAAGACGUAGAAAUUCGAGAUUGCAUGGAAGCUCUAUCGUCGUAAUCACCGAUAAAGCGAACCACUCAAGUAUAGCGACAAGAUAAGUAAAUACAGGUGGAAAACUUGUCGUGGUUUAUUUGGGAGUGGAUUUCACGAAUGAAGUAGAUCGCUUGUGAUCGAUUCGCACACCAAUUUCCGUUGGAUAUUCUUUUUUUUUUUUUACCUAAAUUGUUGAACCCUUCGCUUAAGAUGACAUAUUGUUUACACGAAAUUUUAAAGUUUCAACAAACAUCCGUGAAAAGAGUGUCUCUGGAAGUGUCGGUUCGAGAACAGUUUUCGAUGACGUUUCACCCGUGGUUUCGUUCGCUUCCAAAGUGAAUUUAUGGACAAAAGUGUUGUGGAGAAUAGCGUCUAGAAGAUUGGAAUCG
Long non-coding RNA from Hylaeus anthracinus, 1489 nucleotides. RefSeq lists it as uncharacterized. The record is from RefSeq and is a predicted model, not a curated record. NCBI's taxonomy places the organism in Eukaryota, Metazoa, Arthropoda, Insecta, Hymenoptera, Colletidae. The transcript is spliced from 3 exons.